This 63-nucleotide transfer RNA is filed under the name Cryptopygus antarcticus travei. RNAcentral describes it as "tRNA-Leu". Lineage: Eukaryota; Metazoa; Arthropoda; Collembola; Entomobryomorpha; Isotomidae. The record is from RNAcentral.
UCUAAUAUGGCAGACUAGUGCAAUGAACUUAAGCUUCAAAAAUGAAUUAUAAUUCUUUUAGAA